RNAcentral lists this ribosomal RNA (496 nucleotides) under uncultured bacterium. RNAcentral describes it as "partial 16S ribosomal RNA". It matches the Rfam family "Bacterial small subunit ribosomal RNA", at positions 29 to 507 of the family's 1533-position model. The record is from RNAcentral.
AUGAACGCUGGCGGCGUGCCUAAUACAUGCAAGUCGAGCGAACGGACGAGAAGCUUGCUUCUCUGAUGUUAGCGGCGGACGGGUGAGUAACACGUGGAUAACCUACCAAUAAGACUGGGAUAACUUCGGGAAACCGGAGCUAAUACCGGAUAAUAUUUUGAACCGCAUGGUUCAAAAGUGAAAGACGGUCUUGCUGUCACUUAUAGAUGGAUCCGCGCUGCAUUAGCUAGUUGGUAAGGUAACGGCUCACCAAGGCAACGAUGCAUAGCCGACCUGAGAGGGUGAUCGGCCACACUGGAACUGAGACACGGUCCAGACUCCUACGGGAGGCAGCAGUAGGGAAUCUUCCGCAAUGGGCGAAAGCCUGACGGAGCAACGCCGCGUGAGUGAUGAAGGUCUUCGGAUCGUAAAACUCUGUUAUUAGGGAAGAACAUAUGUGUAAGUAACUGUGCACAUCUUGACGGUACCUAAUCAGAAAGCCACGGCUAACUACGUG